GUAAGGGAUAUUGCACAAUGGGGGAAACCCUGAUGCAGCAACGCCGCGUGGGUGAAGAAGGCUUUCGAGUCGUAAAACCCUUUUCUAGGGGAAGAGGAAGGACAGUACCCUAGGAACAAGUCUCGGCUAACUACGUGCCAGCAGCCGCGGUAAGACGUAGGAGGCGAGCGUUAUCCGGAUUCAUUGGGCGUAAAGGGCAAGUAGGCGGUUGUCAAAGUUGGGCGUGACAUCUCCUGGCUCAACUAGGAGAGGUCGUUCAAAACUAGGCAACUAGAGGGCAGAAGAGGAAAGCGGAACUCCUGAUGUAGCGGUGGAAUGCUCAGAUAUCAGGAAGAACACCAGUGGCGAAGGCGGCUUUCUGGUCUGCACCUGACGCUGAGAGGCGAAGGCCAGGGUAGCGAACGGGCUUAGAAACCCGAGUAGUCC
RNAcentral lists this ribosomal RNA (426 nucleotides) under uncultured bacterium. RNAcentral's name for it is "bacterial SSU rRNA". It matches the Rfam family "Bacterial small subunit ribosomal RNA", at positions 354 to 796 of the family's 1533-position model. The record is from RNAcentral.